Molecule: ribosomal RNA, 812 nt
Filed under: uncultured prokaryote
Description: bacterial SSU rRNA
Rfam family: Archaeal small subunit ribosomal RNA
Source: RNAcentral
GCGAGUCUUUGUAGUAAUACAAGGCAGACGGCUCAGUAACACGUAGUCAACCUACCCUAUGGACAAGAAUAAUCUCGGGAAACUGGGCAUAAUUCUUGAUAGAUCAUAAUGCCUGGAAUGGUUUAUGGUUAAAAUGAUUCGUCGCCAUAGGAUGGGACUGCGGCCUAUCAGCUUGUUGGUGAGGUAAUGGCCCACCAAGGCGAUUACAGGUACGGGCUCUGAGAGGAGAAGCCCGGAGAUGGGUACUGAGACACGGACCCAGGCCCUAUGGGGCGCAGCAGGCGAGAAAACUUUGCAAUGUGCGAAAGCACGACAAGGUUAAUCCGAGUGAUUUCUGCUAAAGAAAUCUUUUGCCAGUCAUAAAACCACUGGUGAAUAAGGGGUGGGCAAGUUCUGGUGUCAGCCGCCGCGGUAAAACCAGCACCUCAAGUGGUCAGGAUGAUUAUUGGGCCUAAAGCAUCCGUAGCCGGCUUUGUUAGUUUUCGGUUAAAUCCAUGUGCUCAACGCAUGGGCUGCCGAAAAUACUGCAUAGCUAGGGAGUGGGAGAGGUAGACGGUACUCAGUAGGAAGGGGUAAAAUCCUUUGAUCUAUUGAUGACCACCUGUGGCGAAGGCGGUCUACCAGAACACGUUCGACGGUGAGGGAUGAAAGCUGGGGGAGCAAACCGGAUUAGAUACCCGGGUAGUCCCAGCUGUAAACGAUGCAGACUCGAUGAUGCAUUGGCAUAAUAGCCAAUGCAGUGUCGCAGGGAAGCCGUUAAGUCUGCCGCCUGGGAAGUACGUACGCAAGUAUGAUACUUAAAGGAAUUGGCG